Equus caballus (horse) is the source of this 1164-nucleotide non-coding RNA. Lineage: Eukaryota; Metazoa; Chordata; Mammalia; Perissodactyla; Equidae. The record is from RefSeq and is a predicted model, not a curated record.
GAACAGCAAAGUGUCGUUGGACUUGUUAGGUAACAGGUUGAACCCUGUGCUUUACAGGAACCUGGAAGGCGAAACUGGCCAAACAACAGAAAUGAAGCAUUCUUAAGAACAUAAGAAGUGGAUAAGGAAGUAUCUCUAAAGCUUACGGCAAAUUCAUCAUAGUCUCCUGUAGGACAUGACUGGAGCAGGAAGGUGAGUGUGCAUUUAAUAGAUAAGUUUAAAACAAGUCUAGGUCAGGAGAAGGGGAGAGAUGGGAGGUUCUGGCAACUCUCUCCCAAAGUCUGCUUUGCCAAAUAUUCAAAGACUGGGAAGGUUGGGUUACCUACAGACUCCUGGAUGUAGCUUUUCAUUUAUUGACACUGAAGGGAGGGGCUAUGACCUGGCAGGCUGGAGGUGCCUCACUUUGAAGUUAAGGGGUCGGGGGGAGGCUUCUUCCUCUCUUCCCUAAAGGUAAAGGGAUCCUUCCAGUGAUGGGGAUGACAAGCUUGGAGUAAGUCAGCAGUGCAGCAAACAGGGCAGGUUGCGUUACUUCUUUUUUACUUCUGAAGAAACUGUUUCUAUGGCUGAUGGAGCUGAGGAGGCUGAAGUUGGUUUCUUUGAUUCCAGGACAUUGAAGUUCAGGGAAGAAAAUGCAGCUUCAUCCAUCUGAAAGACUUGAGCAUCGGUCAGUUAAAUCAGUGUCAUAGGUCAGGCCCUCACCUGGUCCAGUGUGAUUCAGUACCACCUGCUAUCACCACUUUGAAACUUUUAGCUUUGGAGAAGAGCUUUUAUCACCCAUUGUCUCUGCUUGCUAACAUCCAAUGAUCAUUGGAAGAGAGAGAUUAUGAUGUUAGUACAAUGGAAUAUGAUGAUGCAAUAAUGAGAAUGAACACACUACAAAUGCAUACAACAAUAUGGAUGAAUCUCACAAAACAAGUGUGAAUGAAAGAAGCCAGACACAUAUAUGGAUAUGCUGUGUCUGUCAUUUAUGAAAUAGCAUAAACAGGCAAAACUAAUCUAGUGCACUGGAAGUCAGGAUAGUGGUUACUCUUCGAAGGGAAGUAGCUGGAGGGGUUUUUGUUGGGGGAUGACAUGUUUUGUUUCUUGAUUUCGGUGCUCCUUACAUCGGUACGUUCAACUUGUGAAAAUUCAUACAUUCUUAAAAUAUACUUAUGAUUUAAGCAC